This 460-nucleotide ribosomal RNA is filed under the name uncultured bacterium. RNAcentral describes it as "partial 16S ribosomal RNA". It matches the Rfam family "Bacterial small subunit ribosomal RNA", at positions 338 to 795 of the family's 1533-position model. The record is from RNAcentral.
CCUACGGGAGGCAGCAGUGAGGAAUAUUGGUCAAUGGGCGCGAGCCUGAACCAGCCACGUAGCGUGAAGGAUGACUGCCCUACGGGUUGUAAACUUCUUUUAUAAAGGAAUAAAGUGAGUCACGUGUGCCUUUUUGUAUGUACUUUAUGAAUAAGGAUCGGCUAACUCCGUGCCAGCAGCCGCGGUACUACGGAGGAUCCGAGCGUUAUCCGGAUUUAUUGGGUUUAAAGGGAGCGUAGAUGGGUUGUUAAGUCAGUUGUGAAAGUUUGCGGCUCAACCGGAAAAUUGCAAUUGAUACUGGCAGCCUGGAGUACAGUUGAGGUAGGCGGAAUUCGUGGUGUAGCGGUGAAAUGCUUAGAUAGCACGAAGAACUCCGAUUGCGAAGGCAGCCUACUAAACUGCCACUGACAUUGAUGCGCGAAAGCGUGGGGAGCAAACAGGAUUAGAUACCCUUGUAGUC